AGUGAACGCUGGCGGUAGGCCUAACACAUGCAAGUCGAACGGCAGCACAGUAAGAGCUUGCUCUUACGGGUGGCGAGUGGCGGACGGGUGGGGAAUACAUCGGAAUCUACUUUUUCGUGGGGGAUAACGUAGGGAAACUUACGCUAAUACCGCAUACGACCUACGGGUGAAAGCAGGGGAUCUUCGGACCUUGCGCGAUUGAAUGAGCCGAUGUCGGAUUAGCUAGUUGGCGGGGUAAAGGCCCACCAAGGCGACGAUCCGUAGCUGGUCUGAGAGGAUGAUCAGCCACACUGGAACUGAGACACGGUCCAGACUCCGACGGGAGGCAGCAGUGGGGAAUAUUGGACAAUGGGCGCAAGCCUGAUCCAGCCAUACCGCGUGGGUGAAGAAGGCCUUCGGGUUGUAAAGCCCUUUUGUUGGGAAAGAAAAGCAGCAGGUUAAUACCCCGCUGUUCUGACGGUACCCAAAGAAUAAGCACCGGCUAACUUCGUG
RNAcentral lists this ribosomal RNA (492 nucleotides) under uncultured bacterium. RNAcentral describes it as "partial 16S ribosomal RNA". It matches the Rfam family "Bacterial small subunit ribosomal RNA", at positions 29 to 507 of the family's 1533-position model. The record is from RNAcentral.